RNAcentral lists this ribosomal RNA (253 nucleotides) under uncultured bacterium. RNAcentral describes it as "partial 16S ribosomal RNA". It matches the Rfam family "Bacterial small subunit ribosomal RNA", at positions 524 to 776 of the family's 1533-position model. The record is from RNAcentral.
UACGUAGGGUGCGAGCGUUGUCCGGAAUUAUUGGGCGUAAAGGGCUCGUAGGCGGUUUGUCGCGUCGGGAGUGAAAACCUUGGGCUUAACUCAGGGCUUGCUUUCGAUACGGGCAGACUAGAGGUAUGCAGGGGAGAACGGAAUUCCUGGUGUAGCGGUGAAAUGCGCAGAUAUCAGGAGGAACACCGGUGGCGAAGGCGGUUCUCUGGGCAUGAUCUGACGCUGAGGCGCGAGAGCGUGGGGAGCAAACGGG